RNAcentral lists this ribosomal RNA (424 nucleotides) under uncultured Bacteroides sp. RNAcentral describes it as "bacterial SSU rRNA". It matches the Rfam family "Bacterial small subunit ribosomal RNA", at positions 338 to 779 of the family's 1533-position model. Lineage: Bacteria; Pseudomonadati; Bacteroidota; Bacteroidia; Bacteroidales; Bacteroidaceae. The record is from RNAcentral.
CCUACGGGAGGCAGCAGUGGGGAAUAUUGCACAAUGGGGGAAACCCUGAUGCAGCGACGCCGCGUGAGUGAAGAAGUAUUUCGGUAUGUAAAGCUCUAUCAGCAGGGAAGAAAAUGACGGUACCUGACUAAGAAGCCCCGGCUAACUACGUGCCAGCAGCCGCGGUAAUACGUAGGGGGCAAGCGUUAUCCGGAUUUACUGGGUGUAAAGGGAGCGUAGACGGCAUGGCAAGUCUGAAGUGAAAUGCGGGGGCUCAACCCCUGAACUGCUUUGGAAACUGUCAGGCUGGAGUGCAGGAGAGGUAAGUGGAAUUCCUAGUGUAGCGGUGAAAUGCGUAGAUAUUAGGAGGAACACCAGUGGCGAAGGCGGCUUACUGGACUGUAACUGACGUUGAGGCUCGAAAGCGUGGGGAGCAAACAGGAUU